UCGAGGUUGAGUAUAUCUUUUGAAUCGCUCGAUCGUUUUGAUGUGGUUGAGCAUUUAAAGAGUUUGAGAUGAGAUUUUGGUGAAAUUUCGUAGGCCUACUGACCUACUGUGAUCGACGGUUUGUCGAUGUCAAAUAGCUUUGAAAAUUUUAUAGCAAGUCCCUACAUGAGUCUUGAGUACCCUGGUAAAAUUUCAAGCCAUUUCAACUUCGUUUGAUAUUUCUUUAAAAUGCAAAACCUAAACUGCACAUUACUACCGAGAAUUUCAGAGAACAGGGGAAAGAGUCAUUCAUUUCAGUAGCUUCCUGUGUGAUCUAGCUUUCCAAAUUUUUAUGGUAUCAACCUUAUUGUGUUAGCUAGAUAUCCACCAAAGUUGAGCCCAGUUUGACAACGUUUACUUUUUUUUCAAAAAUUGUAACUUUCGGUUGCACAAAACUGCCAGAAAUGGUAGAUUGUGGUAAAAACGUCAUAUCUCUCAAACCACUUGGAGUUUUUGACUCUACUUUUUUUU
This 510-nucleotide long non-coding RNA is filed under the name Salvia miltiorrhiza (redroot sage). Its description in RNAcentral is "long non-coding RNA (SMIL_LNC008904)". The record is from RNAcentral. Lineage: Eukaryota; Viridiplantae; Streptophyta; Magnoliopsida; Lamiales; Lamiaceae.